This 449-nucleotide ribosomal RNA is filed under the name uncultured bacterium. RNAcentral's name for it is "partial 16S ribosomal RNA". It matches the Rfam family "Bacterial small subunit ribosomal RNA", at positions 29 to 523 of the family's 1533-position model. The record is from RNAcentral.
AGCGAACGCUGGCGGCAGGCCUAACACAUGCAAGUCGAACGAAGUCUUCGGACUUAGUGGCGGACGGGUGAGUAACACGUGGGAACGUGCCUUUAGGUUCGGAAUAACUCAGGGAAACUUGUGCUAAUACCGAAUGUGCCCUUCGGGGGAAAGAUUUAUCGCCUUUAGAGCGGCCCGCGUCUGAUUAGCUAGUUGGUGAGGUAAAGGCUCACCAAGGCGACGAUCAGUAGCUGGUCUGAGAGGAUGAUCAGCCACAUUGGGACUGAGACACGGCCCAAACUCCUACGGGAGGCAGCAGUGGGGAAUCUUGCGCAAUGGGCGAAAGCCUGACGCAGCCUUGCCGCGUGAAUGAUGAAGGUCUUAGGAUUGUAAAAUUCUUUCACCGGGGACGAUAAUGAUGGUACCCGGAGAAGAAGCCCCGGCUAACUUCGUGCCAGCCGCCGCGGUAA